This 253-nucleotide ribosomal RNA is filed under the name uncultured bacterium. RNAcentral's name for it is "partial 16S ribosomal RNA". It matches the Rfam family "Bacterial small subunit ribosomal RNA", at positions 524 to 776 of the family's 1533-position model. The record is from RNAcentral.
UACGUAGGGUGCAAGCGUUAAUCGGAAUUACUGGGCGUAAAGCGUGCGCAGGCGGUUUUGUAAGUCUGUCGUGAAAGCCCCGGGCUCAACCUGGGAAUUGCGAUGGAGACUGCAAGGCUUGAAUCUGGCAGAGGGGGGUUGAAUUCCACGUGUAGCAGUGAAAUGCGUAGAGAUGUGGAGGAACACCGAUGGCGAAGGCAGCCCCCUGGGUCAAGAUUGACGCUCAUGCACGAAAGCGUGGGGAGCAAAUAGG